RNAcentral lists this long non-coding RNA (459 nucleotides) under Phoenix dactylifera (date palm). RNAcentral's name for it is "long non-coding RNA (PDAC_LNC005333)". Lineage: Eukaryota; Viridiplantae; Streptophyta; Magnoliopsida; Arecales; Arecaceae. The record is from RNAcentral.
CAUGGUCAUAAAUAGUUAGAGGUUUGUAUCAUCUAUCAGAUUUAGAGUCAGAAAAUAAUCAACAAGUAUCAUUUAGAGGUAGAAUGACCAAGAAGUCAUUGUGUAUCAUAUAAGGAGAAUUUAAUCAUUCUAGAUACUUAAAAAUGGAUCCCAACUGUGGAUGACAUUAGACAUCACUCAUAUGGCUGCUAUUAUGUAUAAUAUACAAUAAUAGAUAGGAGUGGGUAUUUUCUGAUAAUCAUCAAAAUAGUUAACUUUGUAUUAGCCCAUUGAUAUGUCUCAUAUUGAAUGGUCAACAACAUGAAACCAUCUCUUGGAAACCCCUUUUUUCCGGAAAUGACAAUCUUGUAUGUACAAUACGCAAGUGGCCGCUUGACUUGAGAGCACUACUAUCUACUGUGAUCUUAGUUCAAUAAAUUUAUGUCCAAACCCAUAUAUCAACCAGGAUAUUUUGGAUUU